RNAcentral lists this ribosomal RNA (789 nucleotides) under uncultured Methanolinea sp. RNAcentral describes it as "bacterial SSU rRNA". It matches the Rfam family "Archaeal small subunit ribosomal RNA", at positions 85 to 879 of the family's 1478-position model. Lineage: Archaea; Methanobacteriati; Methanobacteriota; Methanomicrobia; Methanomicrobiales; Methanoregulaceae. The record is from RNAcentral.
ACUGCUCAGUAACACGUGGAUAACCUACCCUCAGGAGGGGGAUAACCCCGGGAAACUGGGGAUAAUACCCCAUAGAUCAGGGACGCUGGAAUGCCCCCUGAUUCAAAGGUCCGCCGCCUGAGGAUGGGUCUGCGGCCGAUUAGGUUGUUGUUGGGGUAACGGCCCAACAAGCCAUUGAUCGGUACGGGUUGUGAGAGCAAGAGCCCGGAGAUGGAUUCUGAGACACGAAUCCAGGCCCUACGGGGCGCAGCAGGCGCGAAAACUUUACAAUGCGAGAAAUCGUGAUAAGGGAACCCCGAGUGCCCGUAAAUUCGGGCUGUCCGCCAGUGUAAAUAACUGGUGAAGAAAGGGCCGGGCAAGACCGGUGCCAGCCGCCGCGGUAAUACCGGCGGCUCGAGUGGUGGCCACUAUUACUGGGCUUAAAGCGUCCGUAGCUGGAUUGUUAAGUCUCUUGGGAAAUCCACCGGCUCAACCGAUGGGCGUUCAGGAGAAACUGGCAAUCUAGGGACCGGGAGAGGUGAGAGGUACUCCAGGGGUAGGAGUGAAGUCCUGUAAUCCUUGGGGGACCACCUGUGGCGAAGGCGUCUCACUAGAACGGCUCCGACAGUGAGGGACGAAAGCUGGGGGAGCAAACCGGAUUAGAUACCCGGGUAGUCCCAGCUGUAAACGAUGCGCGUUAGGUGUAUCGGUGACCACGAGUCAUCGAGGUGCCGAAGGGAAACCGUGAAACGUGCCGCCUGGGAAGUACGGUCGCAAGGCUGAAACUUAAAGGAAUUGGCGGGGGAGCAC